This 420-nucleotide long non-coding RNA is filed under the name Gallus gallus (chicken). The record is from RNAcentral. Lineage: Eukaryota; Metazoa; Chordata; Aves; Galliformes; Phasianidae.
GAUGGGAAAGUUCAGCGUGCCUCUAAUCUAUACAUGGCUGCCACAGCAUUGCCCCAUAGCAACUACUGCUCAGAUUUUCUGUGUCUUGCAAGCUUUGGAGAAGAUGAUGAGCAGAGGGUGCCCUCCACCAGAACAGCGAGCCCUGCAUCCUCUGGGUGUCCAUCUGUCCAUCUUGCAUAGCCCUGCGGUGCUAUUGCAGGGGAGGAGCAGACCAGGUGUCCCAGACAAGGUUUGCAAACCAGGACGUGACUGCACCCAGCCUGCGCCCGGCACGUGCAGCUGUUCAAUGUCUACGGUGUGGGAUUAAAAUAGCCAGCGUGCUCCUCGUGUCCCACAGCUCUCUGCUUUGCAAAGCUGGAGCCCUGCAGCAGCCUUCUCCCACAGCCUCACCGAGGGACACCCCUGGGCCAAGGGCACUGC